GGCCUGAAUGAAACUCGCGACGUACAUAGUGAGGCAAUCUAAUUUGAAUAUAUAUUUACACAGGUGCCACGCGCGGUUUUCGCGGCGGCCCUGCAACAUAGCACAGCGUGUUCAGUGGGAAGCUCGAGAUAGAAACCCGGCAGCAUACACGCAUCAUACAUGACACACAUCGGUGGUAGCACAACGGUUUGUCGCUUCCUUGCUUCAAUACUAAUCGCAUUAACGUCGGCACUAAUCGUGCGAUGGGUUCUGCCCAAAUUCUUGUGGUCAUAUAUGUUACUAGAAAUACUCACCGUGCGCAUCCGUCAGAAAUAAGAUUGCGCAGCCCCGGUAUUGAUAUAUUGAACUUGAGUGUCGGUGUGCUCAACGCAGGUUAACUUAUAUUUUUUCCUAUGGUUGCUCGCUGAUUUUCAGAACUAUGUUAUUUAAAUUUCAUAAAUACAAUCACAGAAAGUACAAUCUGUUCGCGUGCUAUUCCCAACAAAAAAAAAUCGCGUAUAAAGAACUUUAGUCACACUCCAUCUGCGAAAAGCAAAUACAUACGACAAAUAUGUAGAAAUCUUGAGUUCAGACAACUGAAACCAACCUGGCUGUCGUGUUUCAGCAGAAAUGGUAUUGUGAUGCUGUAAACCAGCUCAGCCGUUUGCAAUUACAAGUUACAUAAGGCGUCUUGCGCUGAGGUCGAAUUCGAAAACUCUCACAUACGCAGCGUAGGCAGCACAGUGAAAAAAAAAAAAAAAAGAAAAAAAAAAUAAACGGGACCGAUAUUGCGAUGUCUCCUAUGGAUCUUCUGUUUCUGGGCCAUUCUUACACGUCAGUUAUUUACUGAAUUUCUGAAUCGUCGUGCAACUUACAUAACUACUUAUUGCAGACUACACCAACAAUGCCACCGUGGGAGUAAAGACACUGAACCCAUUCAGCUUCCACCAGGCUGGCGUCGCCCUGGAGAUUCUCGUGAUGGCCGCCGAGGGAGCGCUACUCUUUGCGCUCGUCGUAUGGAGGGAUGCCAGACCAACAGCCAGAGGGCGCUUACUGACGCCCUUGCGCGGAUCGUUCGGUGCAUAUAAACGCUGGCACACUGAUGACACGGAGAAAGUCGAGGCAGAACUGGAUGCUGACGUUCGUGCUGAGAGGGAGCUCGUACAACGGGAGUUGCAAACUGGAGUCGACCCGGCAAGGAAUGCUGUGAUCGUCGACAAUGUGCAAAAGCGGUACACACGUCUACUUUGUCGCCGAUAUAUAAUUCUUGCUGAGUGCCAUUCUGAUGCAAAAGCAAGGAGCACACGUGUUUGCUACUUGACUGAAGAGUGCUUUUCGUGUACUUAAAGUACUCGUAAUAUGUGACAGCCGCAAAUGUUCAAAUUACCGUAUGUGCUUUUAGGUUCGGCCUGUGAUACUGCUCUCAAAUGACAAAAGAAAGAAAAA
Dermacentor andersoni is the source of this 1425-nucleotide long non-coding RNA. RefSeq lists it as uncharacterized. The record is from RefSeq and is a predicted model, not a curated record. NCBI's taxonomy places the organism in Eukaryota, Metazoa, Arthropoda, Arachnida, Ixodida, Ixodidae.